GAUGAACGCUGGCGGCGUGCCUAAUACAUGCAAGUCGAGCGAACAGACGAGGAGCUUGCUCCUCUGACGUUAGCGGCGGACGGGUGAGUAACACGUGGAUAACCUACCUAUAAGGCUGGGAUAACUUCGGGAAACCGGAGCUAAUACCGGAUAAUAUAUUGAACCGCAUGGUUCAAUAGUGAAAGACGGUUUUGCUGUCACUUAUAGAUGGAUCCGCGCCGCAUUAGCUAGUUGGUAAGGUAACGGCUUACCAAGGCGACGAUGCGUAGCCGACCUGACAGGGUGAUCGGCCACACUGGAACUGAGACACGGUCCAGACUCCUACGGGAGGCAGCAGUAGGGAAUCUUCCGCAAUGGGCGAAAGCCUGACGGAGCAACGCCGCGUGCGUGAUGAAGGUCUUCGGAUCGUAAAACUCUGUUAUUAGGGAAGAACAAAUGUGUAAGUAACUAUGCACGUCUUGACGGUACCUAAUCAGAAAGCCACGGCUAACUACGUG
Molecule: ribosomal RNA, 497 nt
Filed under: uncultured bacterium
Lineage: Bacteria
Description: partial 16S ribosomal RNA
Rfam family: Bacterial small subunit ribosomal RNA
Source: RNAcentral